GACGAACGCUGGCGGCGUGCUUAACACAUGCAAGUCGAACGCUGAAGCACCAGCUUGCUGGUGUGGAUGAGUGGCGAACGGGUGAGUAAUACGUGAGUAACCUGCCCUUGACUCUGGGAUAAGCCCGGGAAACUGGGUCUAAUACUGGAUGCUACAUGUCACCGCAUGGUGGUGUGUGGAAAGGGUUUACUGGUCUUGGAUGGGCUCACGACCUAUCAGCUUGUUGGUGAGGUAAUGGCUCACCAAGGCGACGACGGGUAGCCGGCCUGAGAGGGUGACCGGCCACCCUGGGACUGAGACACGGCCCAGACUCCUACGGGAGGCGGCAGUGGGGAAUAUUGCACAAUGGGCGAAAGCCUGAUGCAGCGACGCCGCGUGAGGGAUGACGGCCUUCGGGUUGUAAACCUCUUUCAGCAGGGAAGAAGCCACAAGUGACGGUACCUGCAGAAGAAGCGCCGGCUAACUACGUG
This 470-nucleotide ribosomal RNA is filed under the name uncultured bacterium. RNAcentral describes it as "partial 16S ribosomal RNA". It matches the Rfam family "Bacterial small subunit ribosomal RNA", at positions 28 to 507 of the family's 1533-position model. The record is from RNAcentral.